GGGGGCGGUGCCGCGCGGCGCGUGCCGGCAGCUAGCCCCGCCCCUUUUCGCCUCUAGGAGCGCUGCCAUUGGCUGCCGCCCCGCGCGGGUCUCCCUAAGCCCCGCCCAUCGCCCCGCCCACCGCUCCCCCUCCCGCCCCCACCUUGAGCCGGGGGAGCGGGGGCGCCAACAGCGGCACUGCCGGACACCGGAAGUGAGAGAGGGGAGGGAGGGGGCGCUCUGCACGGCUGCGGCGGCGCGGGGCACGACGGGACGGCAAUGGGGGAUGAGAGGGGGGUCGGUCCUCCAGCGGGGUCCGCCGGGCUGAGCCCAGCUGUGACGGGCCGCUUCGUACAACGGAGCCGGGUGGGGGCACAUGGGGCCAGGGCAGCUGUAGGGUGUGGGCACAUACAGGCUGUGCUGCCCUCCAUGUUGGCCCAGCGGGUGAUGGGCCGGGCUGGGGCCAUGUGUGACCCAGGGAUCAGCCCUGGGUGGCAGCACACCCUGUAUCAUAAUACAUGGCCGCAUUGGGGCUGUGCUGGUGCUGAGCUUUGAGCCUCAUCAGUGCUUUAUCAGUGCUCACACAUCAUCAUUGUGGAGCACACAGAUGUCCCUGCACGUGUUUUCUUCCCCCCCCCCUCCCGUUUCAUCCCCCAUUACCCUCAAUAAUACCUUGAACCCAAUUAAUGAGAGCUGAAACGUCUUUCAGCUCCGUUGUGUUUUUUAAUUACCUCCCUUCAGUUCGUAUUGCGACAGAGUCCGAACGGCACCUUCCUCGAAAGAGCUCCAUUAAAAUGCAAAUGAUCAGUUUGCAGAACUUGGCUGUUCCUACGACAGUUUUGAGCCUUACAAAACAGCGCACACAGCUCAGCAUCCCGCUGCCACCUGCCCUGUCACCAACAGGCCGUUCUAUGAUUCUACAAGAUCCCUUUUCCAGCUGAAGGUCUUUGCUAGCAGAAGGUGCCCGUGGAGCCUGGAGCUGCUCAGCACACAGGGCUUCAGUCUCAGGAAGGUUUUGUCUCUUUCUGCUGAUCACAAGUAGCUCCAUCCCCCCCUUAAUUAGAAUUUAUGUUGUGUUUUAGGUAAAUACUGCAAUUACUCUGUCCUUAGAAAUGAUGUGAUUUCUUAGAUGUGAUUUCUUCUCAUAAAUAGAAAACUCAUGGAAAUAAACGAAUAGGAAAAAAAAAAAAGCAAGUUGGAGGGGAAAAAACCAGUGUAGUUUGUGGGAUUUGGGGUGUAGAAGCCACCAUAAACAAGACACGGGAGAAGGGAAAAGCACAACCAUCCCACUCUGGAGGUGUGUUGGGGGGUGCAGACCAUGUGCACUGAAUGAGGUUUUGCAUUCAAUAAGCCGAGGUAAUUUCUUGUGCCUUUGUCCUGUGGUUGGUUUGGAGGCGUGCUGAAAAAGCCGAGUGGCCUCGUUAUUCUGUUACUCCUUUUUGUGGGGUUUUUUGUUGUUGUUUCCCUAGUGCAAUUUUUUAGGGGAAAGGGAGGUGCAAAAGAAAAAUCCCAAGAGAUCUGUGAUGCGACAGCUUUGCUUGCAAAGUUCCCCUUUUGUUUCCAGCGUGCUCCAUCACCAAAGCCUGUUCUUCUCCAAGCCCUGCAGGAAGGAAGCGAUUUUAGGGCUCUUGCCCUCAGCCCUGCACAGCCUGGGACAAUCCGCUGAGCUCAGAGCAGCUCAAAGAAGGGUUAAGGACCCACAUUCCUGUCCCUAUUGCUGCAGACCAAAGGUCAGCGGGUUUCUUACCACGAAGGAAGGGAGGGAGGAGGUGUGCAGCCCUGACCAGGUCAUUUUAGGAGUGAACCACAUCUGAGCUGCACUAAUGAACUGUGUUUGUCUCUCUCUCGCAUGCACGUACUCCUGCUUGGAGCCUGGCGAGUUGGAAUUCCUGCUCUAGUGGGAGUGAGCAUGUCGAUUGUGUUUUUUCCAUGAUGUGUAUUGAGGCAUUUGCUCGGUUGUGGGAGUAAACACUUGGGGGAAUUCUCCAUGAACUAGAGAGGGCAAGUCGUGAGCCUACUAAAUAUGGUGAAGGGAGACUGCAAAUAAAAACCCCGGAGAGGAAAACUCCCUCUUCCCACCCAGCUGCCCCUCAUCACCCCCACGAGCUGCUCCUCCUCAUCCCGCUGCUGGUCGGGCGCUCCUUCCAUCCCAGCACACUGCACCUCUUCCCACUGCAGCUGCCUCACGUGGGUCCCAGGGCUGUCAGUGCACCGGAGGGUGAGCGAUGGUGCUCAUGCACAAAGCACUUGGUCAGCUGCAUCCCACCAACCUCCUUUGGUGCUGCUCUCGAAGGUGUUGGCCACGUUAGCAAACAGUUGAUCUUUCAUCUCCAAAAAUAUUCCCCCUCUGAGCCCCACUCGCUGGCUGUGGGCUCACCCCAAGGCCCUGCUGGUGGCAGCACAGCCCCCAGAGCAGCAUUUGGGUUCAGUGGCCACAGUGGGGAUCUCUGGGGCUCUUCUGGCUCCCAAUCCCCUUCCUCUGCAUGGGAAGCCUGAGUGCAGUUUCAGUUUCCAGUCCCCAUUGUUUCCAUGGGAAUCCCAGAGGCCAUUUUGGUUCCCAAACCCCAUUUCCUCCAUGGGAAGCCCAGGCAGCCUAGUGCCUGCAUUGGAUUUUGGCUGCAUUCUGCAUUCUCCCAGCUUUGCCAGGUGCUGAUGUGGGGCAUCUUCCCUUUGCCAAGCAGCACUUUGGGAUGGCCUGCAAGCAGAGUGCUCUUCCAUUGGAGUUUUUCUUUCACAACUCUUGGCUCAGCUUCGCCUCUUUGCACGCUGGUGCUUGCAGCGUGCUUCUGUCUGAUGCCAGCAGCGCCAUGCAGGAAGGAUGCAGUGAAUUUGGAUGUCUGCAGCAUCUCACACCUCCAGCAGCCCCUAUGGCCAUGAGCAAAUCCACUCCUGCCAACCCAGGUCCCCUGGUGAUGUUCCCACGUCGGCAUCGCUCUGAUCACAGCUUAGUUUUCAAGCUAAAUCCCUUUUGCUGCAGUAUCUCAAACUACUCUGUGCUUAAGAGAGAUUCAUCUCGGGUAUAUUCUUCUGCUUGCAAAGAUUUUGUUUCCCUUGGAACCCAAACAAAUUGCAGGUCUGUCUCUGAGCCCUUUGUUCCAUGCAAACGAUAUAAAUAGUGAAUGCAAUGGAGCUGCGCUUGGAAAGCACAGAGCAACAGUGAAAAUGUAUAUAUAACUGUGAAGGGUUGGGGAGUGUGGUUUUGGGUUUAGCCCGGCAAUUGGUGGCUCGCCUAACAAUUUAGGCCACAUUUGAGGUUUAUGUAGGUUAAAUACGGUACGCCACAUUUCGCUGCUGUUUGCACAGAGCUCUGGGCACAGCUGGAGAAUGUGGGGCAAUGAAUGAGGAGAACUGGGGCAAAAUGUUCAAAAAAGUGUUAUGAAGUAAAUAAGAAACCUUUUUCUCCCCCCUCCCCCACAAUAUUUGAAUCAUUAAAUUGCUUGUCAGGAGCUGUGAUGUGGGCUGCCCAUCAAAUGGGUACUACCAGAGGCAUCUGGGAGGCCAUUGGUGCUGCCUAGCACUCCCAGAUCACAGUGAGUGCAGCGCCCAGCACCUCCAGGCAGCUCUCCCAUUGCUGUGUGUCCUAUGGGACCAUGCAGUAUGGCUAUGUGGGGUCUGACGGUCUGACCCAGUUUCAGCCAUUGAAAGAUGGGGACAGGAGGGGAGACAAGCACUAUUCUGGUAAAGCUGGGAUCCUAGGGGCUGAUGACAAUCACAGCAGCAGAAUGGCAGUGCUGGAGACAUCCUCAUUUUCCUUCCACCUCCAGAAAUGCCCACAGCUGCUUUCUGAGCCUAACCUACUUGCUGUCAUUGCUGCUCUGAGCACUGCACCAAUGGCUCUCAGCACAAAGCAGCUCCACAAAAGUCCCUCUGGCACCCAACCCUUCCCAGUUCAAGCAUCCUCAGUGCCUGCAUUCCCACUGCACAGCUGCAACCAUGCUUCAUCUUCAUCUUUCCUUUCCCUGGUUUAGCAGUGCCGGAGCAGAGGAAAAGAGGAACAUUUCCAUGGGGAAGAAGCAGGGCUGGGCAGAGCGAGUGGCUGCAUUAGGGCUGUGAGCCCCCUGUGCUGUCUCACUCCAACCCAAGCUCUCCUGGUUGGCUCUCAGAGCCAUUCACACCUCCCCUUGCUCUUUCCCAGCCUGGCAGUGUGUCAUGUCUGCGGGGGCAGGUGCCCAUCUGUCUCCAGUUGCAGUUUUUAAACAUUUCCCUCCCCCUCUCUCCCUCCUCUGCCCAGUGCUGCUGACCCCAGUGGGCACCGUGCAUCGCUCCAUGCAGCACAGGGGGGGAUGAAGGCAUUCUGCAGCUGGAUCAGCUGCGGCAAAGACAAAUGCAAUGGGAGUUCAUUGCACAUCCUUGCACAUGUCUGUGUGUGUGUGUGCAUGCUCAGGGUUGCAGCUGGCCCCAAUAAGGGCAGGGGAAAGGCAUGCUGCCUGCUCUCUGCUUGGGAUUAACGGGGGGUACAGCCUGCAUCCGUGCAGAUGCGAGUUUGUUUACUCGUACCAGAUAGUUUGAUGGCUUUAUCUGAUCACAGGUUUUCCUGAGGAAGGAAGGGUGAGUCUGAGUCACUUGAAAAUGGGGGCCCUGCACCGCUGGGUAGGGCUGGUGGGGCUGGGGUUGUGUGUGGGGGGGAGAUGUGCCCCACUGCUGUGCCCCCACUGUGCUCACAUUGCAGGGCCAUGGGAUGCUGUGGUUCUUCAUGGACUCCACAGAUAGAAAUCCACAGAGAAGCCCUGGGGUGGGGUAGAACUGAGAUGGGACGGCUGUGGGAUGGAUGGACAAGUGAUAUCUCCAUGAAAUGUCCCCCAAGCACUCACACUUUGCAUCUGAUGGCAACUGAGGCUUUUGAGCACACUGAGCAGAGGAGCAGAGCCAGCAAUCUGCUGAGCACACAACGCGUGGCCUCUGGGGUCCAGAAUUACUGGGACAGAGAAGGGGCUGUUCCCUGUGUGCUUUAUUUAUGGGAAUCAGGGCAGUGAAGUUCCCCCAGCACGCAGAAUUGGGCCCAGCGCUGCCCAGCUCUGUGACCUUGAGAGUUGACUCUGUGUGGGGCUGGAUGGGGAAGUGCCCCCAUACUGCAUCCUCAUCCUGUGCCUGGAGGGGUACAGCAGGUCUCCAGUGCAAAUCCAUGGGAAAGAAGCCAUAUGAACCCCCCCAAAAAAAUCCCCAGACUCUGAGCAGAUGCUGGGCAGCCCCAUCCUGACCACUGUACACACACAGCAUGGAGGGGAUGUUUCCUUCUUGUACCAAAUUGCAUCCUCCAUGCUUGGGGACCUUUAGCUAUUGGAGACCCCAAAACAGGAACCAACAGCAAAGCUUUGUUUUUUGCUUUAUUUAUUUCUUUUUUCUUUUCUUUUAACCUGCAUUUUUUUCUUUUAGCCAUUUUCUGAAGCAGCUGCCAGGUCAUUGCAUCCCCCUCCCACAUCCACUGGGAUCAUGGAGGCACUGGGAGAACUGGAGAAGGACAGUGGGAUCUAUUGGAAGGGCAUUAAGAUUUCAUGGAAGGACCUUGGGAUCUAUUGGAAGGGCAUUAGGAUUUCAUGGAAAAGCACUAAAAUGUAAUGGAAGGACAUUAGGAUUUCACGGAAGGAUGGUGGCAUCCAUUGGAAGGACCCCAGAUCUGCAGCCAUAGGUGGCACAGGUUCCCUUUAGGGAAGCUCAGGGCAAAGCCAUGGAGCUCAUAAGGAACGUAUGCUGUCCCACAGCAAUCAGGACAAGGCCCAGCAGGAUUCCUCCCCUUGGUGGGAACGGGUGAUGGCUGAACUCGGGGAAAGCAGCAUCAUUUCCUCCCCACCAGAACAAAGCAAUGCUGUGCCAGGCAAACUCUGCCUUCCCACGGGCGCAGCAGGAACACAGCCCCUUCGGUGCCCUUCUCGCAGCCACCCUUCCCAGUUCCUCUCCCACCUUCUGGGCUCAGCACAUCGCCUCUCCCCCAGCUCCCUCCCAGCUGCUCUCCCCUCAUCCCACCGCAGCGCUGCUGGGAGGGGGGGGGCUGCCCUGAUGUGGGAAACAAAGGCGGCAGCCAGGAGGCGUUUCCCGAAAAUAUGGGGCUGGGAGAGGUCGGGGCCAAGGGGCAGCGUGCCCAGGGCCAGCAGGAAAUCCUCCCCACGCAUCAGGCAGCGCCGGCACCCAACGCCCGCCCAGUUGGUUUUGGCUCCGAUGCAGUUUGUUACCCGGGGCUGGGAUGGGGCUGCACAGCCCAUCAAGGACAUCCAAUGUGAUUGCUGCUAGCAGAGCCAAACGAAAACUCCAACUGCUUCCUGCAGCUCCUGCGUGGGGCAAUGGUGGCCAGACCCACAGCAUCGCCAUUGCACUGACCUCCAGGUCAUGGGGACCUCCAAGGUUCGAGGAUCUCCACAUCUGGGGGACCUCCAUGGCUUGGGGAUGGCUUGAGGUCCCUCCAUGGCUUGGGGACCUCCAUGGCUUGGGUACUUACAUGGUUCCAUUGUUACCUAGCAGUUAACUGGGGAAACUGCCUCAUUUCCCAGGCUGGGGACCUCCAUGGCUGGGGAUUUCUGUCUCCUGGGGAGCUCCAUGGCUUGGAGACCUCCACAACUUGGGGACCUCCAUGGUUCAGGAACCUCCAUGGCUUAGGUACCUCCAUAAUCCCAUCAUUCUCCCACCAUGAAUUACUUCCCAGUUUCCCAUGCUGGGCAGCAGGAGGUUCCAUGCAGGGUGUGCCAUGGUCACAGCAUCAUUGGAGGCGGGAGGAAGAGCCAGUUUCCAUCUAAAGCCAUUGUAUCACCACCUGAUGAUGCCCUGUGUGCAGCACAAGGCUGUUUACUCCUUCCUAAAGAAAAGAAGCAUCCGAAGUCUUAAGAAAGACCAAGAAUAAAUUAAUUUAAUUAAUGAAA
Molecule: non-coding RNA, 6827 nt
Organism: Coturnix japonica (Japanese quail)
Lineage: Eukaryota; Metazoa; Chordata; Aves; Galliformes; Phasianidae
Source: RefSeq, a predicted model, not a curated record